GGGUUGUGAGGUUAAGCGACUAAGCGUACACGGUGGAUGCCCUGGCAGUCAGAGGCGAUGAAGGACGUGCUAAUCUGCGAUAAGCGUCGGUAAGGUGAUAUGAACCGUUAUAACCGGCGAUUUCCGAAUGGGGAAACCCAGUGUGUUUCGACACACUAUCAUUAACUGAAUCCAUAGGUUAAUGAGGCGAACCGGGGGAACUGAAACAUCUAAGUACCCCGAGGAAAAGAAAUCAACCGAGAUUCCCCCAGUAGCGGCGAGCGAACGGGGAGCAGCCCAGAGCCUGAAUCAGUAUGUGUGUUAGUGGAAGCGUCUGGAAAGGCGCGCGAUACAGGGUGACAGCCCCGUACACAAAAAUGCACAUGCUGUGAGCUCGAUGAGUAGGGCGGGACACGUGGUAUCCUGUCUGAAUAUGGGGGGACCAUCCUCCAAGGCUAAAUACUCCUGACUGACCGAUAGUGAACCAGUACCGUGAGGGAAAGGCGAAAAGAACCCCGGCGAGGGGAGUGAAAAAGAACCUGAAACCGUGUACGUACAAGCAGUGGGAGCACGCUUAGGCGUGUGACUGCGUACCUUUUGUAUAAUGGGUCAGCGACUUAUAUUCUGUAGCAAGGUUAACCGAAUAGGGGAGCCGAAGGGAAACCGAGUCUUAACUGGGCGUUAAGUUGCAGGGUAUAGACCCGAAACCCGGUGAUCUAGCCAUGGGCAGGUUGAAGGUUGGGUAACACUAACUGGAGGACCGAACCGACUAAUGUUGAAAAAUUAGCGGAUGACUUGUGGCUGGGGGUGAAAGGCCAAUCAAACCGGGAGAUAGCUGGUUCUCCCCGAAAGCUAUUUAGGUAGCGCCUCGUGAAUUCAUCUCCGGGGGUAGAGCACUGUUUCGGCAAGGGGGUCAUCCCGACUUACCAACCCGAUGCAAACUGCGAAUACCGGAGAAUGUUAUCACGGGAGACACACGGCGGGUGCUAACGUCCGUCGUGAAGAGGGAAACAACCCAGACCGCCAGCUAAGGUCCCAAAGUCAUGGUUAAGUGGGAAACGAUGUGGGAAGGCCCAGACAGCCAGGAUGUUGGCUUAGAAGCAGCCAUCAUUUAAAGAAAGCGUAAUAGCUCACUGGUCGAGUCGGCCUGCGCGGAAGAUGUAACGGGGCUAAACCAUGCACCGAAGCUGCGGCAGCGACACUAUGUGUUGUUGGGUAGGGGAGCGUUCUGUAAGCCUGUGAAGGUGUACUGUGAGGUAUGCUGGAGGUAUCAGAAGUGCGAAUGCUGACAUAAGUAACGAUAAAGCGGGUGAAAAGCCCGCUCGCCGGAAGACCAAGGGUUCCUGUCCAACGUUAAUCGGGGCAGGGUGAGUCGACCCCUAAGGCGAGGCCGAAAGGCGUAGUCGAUGGGAAACAGGUUAAUAUUCCUGUACUUGGUGUUACUGCGAAGGGGGGACGGAGAAGGCUAUGUUGGCCGGGCGACGGUUGUCCCGGUUUAAGCGUGUAGGCUGGUUUUCCAGGCAAAUCCGGAAAAUCAAGGCUGAGGCGUGAUGACGAGGCACUACGGUGCUGAAGCAACAAAUGCCCUGCUUCCAGGAAAAGCCUCUAAGCAUCAGGUAACAUCAAAUCGUACCCCAAACCGACACAGGUGGUCAGGUAGAGAAUACCAAGGCGCUUGAGAGAACUCGGGUGAAGGAACUAGGCAAAAUGGUGCCGUAACUUCGGGAGAAGGCACGCUGAUAUGUAGGUGAAGUCCCUCGCGGAUGGAGCUGAAAUCAGUCGAAGAUACCAGCUGGCUGCAACUGUUUAUUAAAAACACAGCACUGUGCAAACACGAAAGUGGACGUAUACGGUGUGACGCCUGCCCGGUGCCGGAAGGUUAAUUGAUGGGGUCAGCGCAAGCGAAGCUCUUGAUCGAAGCCCCGGUAAACGGCGGCCGUAACUAUAACGGUCCUAAGGUAGCGAAAUUCCUUGUCGGGUAAGUUCCGACCUGCACGAAUGGCGUAAUGAUGGCCAGGCUGUCUCCACCCGAGACUCAGUGAAAUUGAACUCGCUGUGAAGAUGCAGUGUACCCGCGGCAAGACGGAAAGACCCCGUGAACCUUUACUAUAGCUUGACACUGAACAUUGAGCCUUGAUGUGUAGGAUAGGUGGGAGGCUUUGAAGUGUGGACGCCAGUCUGCAUGGAGCCGACCUUGAAAUACCACCCUUUAAUGUUUGAUGUUCUAACGUGGACCCGUAAUCCGGGUUGCGGACAGUGUCUGGUGGGUAGUUUGACUGGGGCGGUCUCCUCCUAAAGAGUAACGGAGGAGCACGAAGGUUGGCUAAUCCUGGUCGGACAUCAGGAGGUUAGUGCAAUGGCAUAAGCCAGCUUGACUGCGAGCGUGACGGCGCGAGCAGGUGCGAAAGCAGGUCAUAGUGAUCCGGUGGUUCUGAAUGGAAGGGCCAUCGCUCAACGGAUAAAAGGUACUCCGGGGAUAACAGGCUGAUACCGCCCAAGAGUUCAUAUCGACGGCGGUGUUUGGCACCUCGAUGUCGGCUCAUCACAUCCUGGGGCUGAAGUAGGUCCCAAGGGUAUGGCUGUUCGCCAUUUAAAGUGGUACGCGAGCUGGGUUUAGAACGUCGUGAGACAGUUCGGUCCCUAUCUGCCGUGGGCGCUGGAGAAUUGAGGGGGGCUGCUCCUAGUACGAGAGGACCGGAGUGGACGCAUCACUGGUGUUCGGGUUGUCAUGCCAAUGGCACUGCCCGGUAGCUAAAUGCGGAAGAGAUAAGUGCUGAAAGCAUCUAAGCACGAAACUUGCCCCGAGAUGAGUUCUCCCUGACUCCUUGAGAGUCCUGAAGGAACGUUGAAGACGACGACGUUGAUAGGCCGGGUGUGUAAGCGCAGCGAUGCGUUGAGCUAACCGGUACUAAUGAACCGUGAGGCUUAACCUUACAACGCCGAAGCUGUU
This 2929-nucleotide ribosomal RNA is filed under the name Escherichia coli. Its description in RNAcentral is "bacterial LSU rRNA". It matches the Rfam family "Bacterial large subunit ribosomal RNA". Lineage: Bacteria; Pseudomonadati; Pseudomonadota; Gammaproteobacteria; Enterobacterales; Enterobacteriaceae. The record is from RNAcentral.